RNAcentral lists this long non-coding RNA (3296 nucleotides) under Salvia miltiorrhiza (redroot sage). RNAcentral describes it as "long non-coding RNA (SMIL_LNC005428)". Lineage: Eukaryota; Viridiplantae; Streptophyta; Magnoliopsida; Lamiales; Lamiaceae. The record is from RNAcentral.
ACUAUAUUAUUCAUUGCCCUCAUGCUAUCACUAUUGCUACAAUCAACUACAAAGUCCCUCGGCUUGUAGCCCAUUUCCCCCGCAUUCCUGAGACAACCUUUUAUGCUACCUUCCGGAACCGCUUGCAUCGGCUCCCUUCCCAUGCCCUUUCCCGUGCCCUUUGGGCGGCCACGUCCCCGCUUGGUCGUCUUGUCCGAGAGCAUUUGCAUCCCCUGACUAACCUGCUCUUCUAACCGACUAAUGCGACUAGCAAUAAUAUCCGGGCCAAGAGCGGAUAAAUCCUUAUUACCUUCAUGCGAAACAUCCCCUCUUUUGUCCAAAGUUGGGUCACGUUCGAGAGCAACAACUGUGUCGUCAAUAAUCGGGCUGUUCAAACCCGCGCCAUCCAGAGCCUCCAUCUCCAAAGUUUCCUCCACAUCUGAGUCCUCCUCGUUAAUGACCAAGUCACUAUCUUUGAUAAUCACAUCUUUAUCCCCCUGAACCGGAACCAGGAUUUUUUCCAACAAAUUCGGCCCAAAUGAAUGAACCCCUAAAGACGUUCCAGAAAUAGGAUCAACACCCAUAUCCAAAACAGUCUCCGCAUUAUUCUCCAAGUCAAGAGCCUGAAAUGCGUUUCGCGUCUCAACAGCCUCUUUCUCAAGAACCGGAACAAUCUGUUUUUUUACCGCCUGUUCGGUAACCUUUGACCAAGCCGCAGCAGGUUUAGCAGCCAUGUGAUCUUUAGGCUUAACCUUCUUGCUCUUGUUUUCAUUAUCAGUAGCAGACUCGAUCGGAGCUUCUUUACUGUCCUGGCUGUCCUUCCGCUUAAGCUUUGUACACUUUUCCACCUGAUGUCCAGUGAUGCGGCAAUUCGAGCAAAAUAAAGGCAAUUGUUCAUAGCUAAACUCGACAUAGAAAGGAUAUUCACAAUCUAUAAGCAUCGAUUCCUGCAAUGGCUGAGCGAGAUCCACUUCAAUUAGCACACGAAUGAAAUGGCCGACCUCUCCAUAAGCUGAUACACCAUCAAUUUUGAUUGGAAAACCAAUAAUUCUAGCAAUUGCUGUUAUUACCUCAGGAUCCCAAAACUCAUUCGGAAGGUAAUAAAUCCGAACCCAAACUUGACAUAUAGAAGAGACUUCCUUGUAGGGAUUGAAACAUGGAACCCACUCGCGGAGGCGAAUGGAACCCGCAGCCAGAUCCCAAACAAUUUUAGCUUUCGCAAGUUUUUUAUCUUCAAGAGUAGAGAAUUUCAUGGUGAAAAAACCCUUCCCAGAGUGAGAAGCUUCCACUCUGAUUGGAUACCCCACAAAUUGUUGAGUUCAAGCUUCAACUGAUGUGUCGCUGUGGCUUGCUUCCUUUCCGUAGUAAUACCCUUCCAAUAACAGAGAAUUCGAAUUCAGCAAUACGUUUUUGAUACAUCUGUUUCGGAAUGGUGAGAGAGAACCCAUCGGCGAGUUUCUCAGCCUUAAGAGCUGAGAAUUUAUGCGCUGGUAAAUCUGGAGGUCGAUCAACCCGUUGUUGCAUGAUCGAGGCGUAGGAAACCCUACCCUCUGGUGGCGGCUGUUUGUGAGUUAGGCACCGAAGCUGUUCCUUCAGACGGAAUUGUAGAGGUAGUUCCAGAUCCUGAUGAAUUAUCCGAUAAACAAACCUCAACAAGUUUCAAAUUCCCAUGCUCCAAAUCCCUCGGCUGAAAGUUGUUUGAGAUUUGUGGCAGGCGAAGGCUAUCAGGUUUCUCAGGAAAACCACGGGCUCCUGAAGCAGUCGGCGACAGAGAGGAAGCAGUCCUCUUAGGUAGCGGCGCCGGAGAGCGGCGUCGGCGAAAGAUUAUUGACCAUGGCGGCUAGGGUUUUCGAGAACUAGAGAGAAUUAGGGUCUGCAUUUUUUCAGGUUCGACUGAAUGCGCAUUGUUUUAUAAAUAUUUUAAAAUUAAGAUGCGCAUUGUUUAUAUUGGUAUGCGCAUAUAGUGUAAUAAAAAUUGAAAAAUUCUUAAAAAUUGAGAUGCGCAUAUAUUGUUAAUAAUUGAGAUGUGCAUAUAUUGUUAAUAAUUGAGAUGCGCAUAUAUUCUUAAAAAUUGAGAUGCGCAUAUAUUGAGACGCGCAUUGUAAUUAAAAUUGAGAUGCGCAUUGUUAACAAAUAAUUGAGAUGCGCAUAGUUAAAUAAUUGGUAUGCGCAUAGUCAAAAUUAGAGUUUAAAAAUAAGCUAUCUUCCUAAUGUACAAAAAAUAGAUUCACGCAAAGUACCCCAACUAUGCGGAUGAAAUGGAUAGAGAGAUUGGGGGCAAUUCAAAUUCAAGACAUAAUAAUGACAAAUCUAUCUACCCAUAACUGUUCUCCAUAAAAUCGGUCAAAUGAGAAUGAAUAUUGUGUCAGCACACAUAUUAAAAGUAGAACAUAGAUAUUGGAGUAGGAAUCAGUAGUACGGGGAAAUUAAUAAAAUAUUAACAUGAUCAUGGAGUAAAUUGUUUGUAAUAAAAUAGGGUAUAGUCUAAAUAUCCUUUACUAAACUUGGGCACUUUUAUAUAUUAGCACUUUCAGAAUUUAAGUGAACUUUUNCAUAGUCAAAACUCUGCGCAAUUAAUAUGCGCAGAGUUAAUAUUUGUGCGCAUAGUUGACUUAUACAUAAUUUUCGCAUUGUUUUUAUUACUAUGCGGUGUAAUAUUUUGAUUUCCGCAGUGUUUGCAAAUUUGAAUGCGCAUUAUUUUAAUAAUUGGAGUUUAAAAUUGAGAUGCGCAUAGUUAAAUAAUUGUUUAUAUUUUAAUAUUUUAUAAAUAAUUUGAAUGCGCAUUAUUCUAGAUAUUAUUAAAUUGAGGUUUAUUAUAAAAGAAAAGAAAAAAAUCCCCUUGAGAGCACAAAACGCAGACUAAGGGCACGAAACUCGAAAAGAGAUCGUUAAGCUAAGAAUCCUGAAGACACUAGCAAUCCCAUAACUCAGGAUAGUCGUCAAUCUCAUCUGACCAACGUCUAUGUACUAUAUUAUUCAUUGCCCUCAUGCUAUCACUAUUGCUACAAUCAACUACAAAGUCCCUCGGCUUGUAGCCCAUUUCCCCCGCAUUCCUGAGGCGACCUUUUAUGCUACCUUCCGGAACCGCUUGCAUCGGCUCCUUUCCCAUGCCCUUUCCCGUGCCCUUUGGGCGGCCACGUCCCCGCUUGGUUGUCUUGUCCGAGAGCAUUUGCAUCCCCUGACUAACCUGCUCUUCUAACCGACUAAUGCGACUAGCAAUAUUGUCCGGGCCAAGAGCGGACAAAUCCUUGUUACCUUCAUGCGAAACACCCCCUCUUUUGUCCAAAGUUGGGUCACGUUCGAGAUAAACAGCUGUG